UACGUAGGGGGCUAGCGUUAUCCGGAAUUACUGGGCGUAAAGGGUGCGUAGGUGGUUUCUUAAGUCAGAGGUGAAAGGCUACGGCUCAACCGUAGUAAGCCUUUGAAACUGGGAAACUUGAGUGCAGGAGAGGAGAGUGGAAUUCCUAGUGUAGCGGUGAAAUGCGUAGAUAUUAGGAGGAACACCAGUUGCGAAGGCGGCUCUCUGGACUGUAACUGACGCUGAGGAGCGAAAGCGUGGGGAGCGAACAGGAUUAGAUACCCCUGUAGUCCCUGAG
This 277-nucleotide ribosomal RNA is filed under the name uncultured prokaryote. RNAcentral's name for it is "partial 16S ribosomal RNA". It matches the Rfam family "Bacterial small subunit ribosomal RNA", at positions 524 to 801 of the family's 1533-position model. The record is from RNAcentral.